GACGAACGCUGGCGGCGUGCUUAACACAUGCAAGUCGAACGGAAAGGCCCUGCUUUUGUGGGGUGCUCGAGUGGCGAACGGGUGAGUAACACGUGAGUAACCUGCCCUUGACUUUGGGAUAACUUCAGGAAACUGGGGCUAAUACCGGAUAGGAGCUCCUGCUGCAUGGUGGGGGUUGGAAAGUUUCGGCGGUUGUGGAUGGACUCGCGGCUUAUCAGCUUGUUGGUGGGGUAGUGGCUUACCAAGGCUGUGACGGGUAGCCGGCCUGAGAGGGUGACCGGCAACAUUGGGACUGAGAUACGGCCCAGACUCCUACGGGAGGCAGCAGUGGGGAAUAUUGCACAAUGGGAGGAAGCCUGAUGAAGCAACGCCGCGUGCGGGAUGACGGCAUUCGGGUUGUAAACCGCUUUCGCCUGUGACGAAGCGUGAGUGACGGUAAUGGGUAAAGAAGCACCGGCUAACUACGUG
This 468-nucleotide ribosomal RNA is filed under the name uncultured bacterium. RNAcentral's name for it is "partial 16S ribosomal RNA". It matches the Rfam family "Bacterial small subunit ribosomal RNA", at positions 28 to 507 of the family's 1533-position model. The record is from RNAcentral.